GACGAACGCUGGCGGCGUGCUUAACACAUGCAAGUCGAACGCUGAAGCUCAGCUUUUGUUGGGUGGAUGAGUGGCGAACGGGUGAGUAACACGUGAGUAACCUGCCCCCUUCUUUGGGAUAACGCCCGGAAACGGGUGCUAAUACUGGAUAUUCACUGGUCUUCGCAUGGGGGUUGGUGGAAAGGGUUUUUCUAGUGGGGGAUGGGCUCGCGGCCUAUCAGCUUGUUGGUGGGGUGAUGGCCUACCAAGGCUUUGACGGGUAGCCGGCCUGAGAGGGUGACCGGUCACAUUGGGACUGAGAUACGGCCCAGACUCCUACGGGAGGCAGCAGUGGGGAAUAUUGCACAAUGGGCGCAAGCCUGAUGCAGCGACGCCGCGUGAGGGAUGGAGGCCUUCGGGUUGUGAACCUCUUUCGCUCAUGGUCAAGCCGCAACAAUGGUUGUGGUGAGGGUAGUGGGUAAAGAAGCGCCGGCUAACUACGUG
RNAcentral lists this ribosomal RNA (483 nucleotides) under uncultured bacterium. Its description in RNAcentral is "partial 16S ribosomal RNA". It matches the Rfam family "Bacterial small subunit ribosomal RNA", at positions 28 to 507 of the family's 1533-position model. The record is from RNAcentral.